Molecule: ribosomal RNA, 699 nt
Filed under: Shewanella sp. enrichment culture clone S1_2_9
Lineage: Bacteria; Pseudomonadati; Pseudomonadota; Gammaproteobacteria; Alteromonadales; Shewanellaceae
Description: bacterial SSU rRNA
Rfam family: Bacterial small subunit ribosomal RNA
Source: RNAcentral
GAACGCUGGCGGCAGGCCUAACACAUGCAAGUCGAGCGGCAGCACAAGGGAGUUUACUCCUGAGGUGGCGAGCGGCGGACGGGUGAGUAAUGCCUAGGGAUCUGCCCAGUCGAGGGGGAUAACAGUUGGAAACGACUGCUAAUACCGCAUACGCCCUACGGGGGAAAGAGGGGGACCUUCGGGCCUCUCGCGAUUGGAUGAACCUAGGUGGGAUUAGCUAGUUGGUGAGGUAAUGGCUCACCAAGGCGACGAUCCCUAGCUGUUCUGAGAGGAUGAUCAGCCACACUGGGACUGAGACACGGCCCAGACUCCUACGGGAGGCAGCAGUGGGGAAUAUUGCACAAUGGGGGAAACCCUGAUGCAGCCAUGCCGCGUGUGUGAAGAAGGCCUUCGGGUUGUAAAGCACUUUCAGUAGGGAGGAAAGGUAGCAGUUUAAUACGCUGUUGCUGUGACGUUACCUACAGAAGAAGGACCGGCUAACUCCGUGCCAGCAGCCGCGGUAAUACGGAGGGUCCGAGCGUUAAUCGGAAUUACUGGGCGUAAAGCGUGCGCAGGCGGUUUGUUAAGCGAGAUGUGAAAGCCCUGGGCUCAACCUAGGAAUAGCAUUUCGAACUGGCGAACUAGAGUCUUGUAGAGGGGGGUAGAAUUCCAGGUGUAGCGGUGAAAUGCGUAGAGAUCUGGAGGAAUACCGGUGGCGAA